GGGGAAAGGCUAUAACGAUUAUG
RNAcentral lists this microRNA (23 nucleotides) under Polistes canadensis. RNAcentral describes it as "pca-miR-965-5p". Its record names the gene pca-miR-965-5p. Lineage: Eukaryota; Metazoa; Arthropoda; Insecta; Hymenoptera; Vespidae. The record is from miRBase by way of RNAcentral.